GAUGAACGCUGGCGGCGUGCCUAAUACAUGCAAGUCGAGCGAACAGAUAAGGAGCUUGCUCCUUUGACGUUAGCGGCGGACGGGUGAGUAACACGUGGGUAACCUACCUAUAAGACUGGGAUAACUUCGGGAAACCGGAGCUAAUACCGGAUAACAUUUGGAACCGCAUGGUUCUAAAGUGAAAGAUGGUUUUGCUAUCACUUAUAGAUGGACCCGCGCCGUAUUAGCUAGUUGGUAAGGUAACGGCUUACCAAGGCAACGAUACGUAGCCGACCUGAGAGGGUGAUCGGCCACACUGGAACUGAGACACGGUCCAGACUCCUACGGGAGGCAGCAGUAGGGAAUCUUCCGCAAUGGGCGAAAGCCUGACGGAGCAACGCCGCGUGAGUGAUGAAGGGUUUCGGCUCGUAAAACUCUGUUAUUAGGGAAGAACAAACGUGUAAGUAGCUGUGCACGUCUUGACGGUACCUAAUCAGAAAGCCACGGCUAACUACGUG
This 497-nucleotide ribosomal RNA is filed under the name uncultured bacterium. Its description in RNAcentral is "partial 16S ribosomal RNA". It matches the Rfam family "Bacterial small subunit ribosomal RNA", at positions 28 to 507 of the family's 1533-position model. The record is from RNAcentral.